GAUGAACGCUGGCGGCGUGCCUAAUACAUGCAAGUCGAGCGAACGGACGAGAAUCUUGCUUCUCUGAUGUUAGCGGCGGACGGGUGAGUAACACGUGGAUAACCUACCUAUAAGACUGGGAUAACUUCGGGAAACCGUAGCUAAUACCGGAUAAUAUUUUGAACCGCAUGGUUCAAAAGUGAAAGACGGUCUUGCUGUCACUUAUAGAUGGAUCCGCGCUGCAUUAGCUAGUUGGUAAGGUAGCGGCUUACCAAGGCAACGAUGCAUAGCCGACCUGAGAGGGUGAUCGGCCACACUGGAACUGAGACACGGUCCAGACUCCUACGGGAGGCAGCAGUAGGGAAUCUUCCGCAAUGGGCGAAAGCCUGACGGAGCAACGCCGCGUGAGUGAUGAAGGUCUUCGGAUCGUAAAACUCUGUUAUUAGGGAAGAACAUAUGUGUAAGUAACUGUGCACAUCUUGACGGUACCUAAUCAGAAAGCCACGGCUAACUACGUG
RNAcentral lists this ribosomal RNA (497 nucleotides) under uncultured bacterium. Its description in RNAcentral is "partial 16S ribosomal RNA". It matches the Rfam family "Bacterial small subunit ribosomal RNA", at positions 28 to 507 of the family's 1533-position model. The record is from RNAcentral.